This 96-nucleotide microRNA precursor is filed under the name Nicotiana attenuata. RNAcentral's name for it is "MIR6152 microRNA precursor family". It matches the Rfam family "MIR6152 microRNA precursor family". Lineage: Eukaryota; Viridiplantae; Streptophyta; Magnoliopsida; Solanales; Solanaceae. The record is from Rfam by way of RNAcentral.
UUGACAGAUUAUUGUAUUCGACUGUAUUCACGGCGUGAAACAGGGGAUUACACUGUUUUAAAACGAAAAGUGAAUCAAUUAACAUAAUAGACUCCU